AGUAACGCGUGGGUAACCUGCCUUGUACUGGGGGACAACAGUUAGAGAUGACUGCUAAUACCGCAUAAGCGCACAGUAUCGCAUGAUACAGUGUGAAAAACUCCGGUGGUACAAGAUGGACCCGCGUCUGAUUAGCUAGUUGGUAAGGUAACAGCUUACCAAGGCGACGAUCAGUAGCCGACCUGAGAGGGUGACCGGCCACAUUGGGACUGAGACACGGCCCAA
RNAcentral lists this ribosomal RNA (225 nucleotides) under uncultured bacterium. Its description in RNAcentral is "partial 16S ribosomal RNA". It matches the Rfam family "Bacterial small subunit ribosomal RNA", at positions 109 to 334 of the family's 1533-position model. The record is from RNAcentral.